GAGGAAUUUUCUGCAAUGGGCGAAAGCCUGACAGAGCAAUACCGCGUGAGGGAUGAAGACUUACUGAGUUGUAAACCUCGGUGCCUUAAGGAAGAAGAUAUGACGGUACUUAAGGUGGAAAGCAUCGGCUAACUCCGUGCCAGCAGCCGCGGUAAGACGGGGGAUGCAAGUGUUAUCCGGAUUUACUGGGCGUAAAGCGUCUGCAGGUGGUUUCUUAAGUCUACUGUUAAAUCUUGAGGCUCAACCUCAAAUCUGCAGUAGAAACUAGGAGACUUGAGUAUAGUAGGGGUAGAGGGAAUUUCCAGUGGAGCGGUGAAAUGCGUAGAUAUUGGAAAGAACACCGAUGGCGAAGGCACUCUACUGGGCUAUUACUGACACUCAGAGACGAAAGCUAGGGGAGCAAAUGGGA
This 409-nucleotide ribosomal RNA is filed under the name uncultured cyanobacterium. RNAcentral's name for it is "bacterial SSU rRNA". It matches the Rfam family "Bacterial small subunit ribosomal RNA", at positions 356 to 777 of the family's 1533-position model. The record is from RNAcentral. Lineage: Bacteria; Bacillati; Cyanobacteriota.